Molecule: RNA transcript, 6142 nt
Organism: Megalopta genalis
Lineage: Eukaryota; Metazoa; Arthropoda; Insecta; Hymenoptera; Halictidae
Gene name: ATP-binding cassette sub-family C member 10
Source: RefSeq, a predicted model, not a curated record
ACGCGGAACGAAAUUCAAUUUGUAAAAGAGCUUCGAAUAAUGAAACUUGUUGCCUCGUACGAUUCUUGUCCUCAUUGUUCAGCGUACGUUCAUUGAAUAUCAUUCGCAAAUUCAUCGAAUGAUAUAAUCGAGGAUCCUACAAGGCGAAAGAUUUUAUUAUUUGAAGCUCUUUUACAAAUAUAAUUUUAUCGCCGCGUGUCUCAGAUGUAGCGCCAGUCGAACGGAUGCGUGGAAAAAGUGACACCACGAAUACAGUAGAAUGAACCAGUUAGGUUUCUUAUUUGUAUGGGCACUCAUACAUAAAGACCGAUUAGUUCGUUCUCUUUCUUUCUUUCUCUUACGUUGGGAUUUGGGAUAUGCGCGCUGCGCAGCAGCUUGCCAUUAGGGAGGAAAACAAAUGUAAACGUUGAGUUGAGGUUGCCACUAUGUGUCACUAUAGAUUGCUGUAGAUGUAUUGCGCGAAAUGUGUACCAAAUUACAUAUAUUGAAUUAUGUACACACAGUAGGAUAUACACAUAAUAUAACCGUUUAAGAUAUGGACAAUAAUUGGUUAUCUGAUGAUAUGGAAGAGUCAUGGAAAUGGAAUUGGACAGAAUUAUGUGGUUAUAAUGGAGGCAUUAAGCCACUGAAUCCAGAAACACAUGAUAUCGAUGUAUGCUUCCAACAAUUAUUCCUUCAGAUCCCAGUUUUAGUCUGUAUUGCAAUGGUAUCUGCGUAUCAUUGUGGAAAAAGACAUUCAUAUCCUAAUGGUCAUCAUGGUACUAAUGCUAUCAUUAACUUGAGAAUUUUGAUUGUAUUGUGCCUUAUGGUUCUUCCUAUAAUUAGAGCAUACAUUAUUCUUACUAAUACAACCCUUUCUCCAUUAAACCAUGUUUCAUCUGAUAAUAAUUUAAUGCAGCAAGAAUCAGCCAUGAUAUCAAAUAAUAGUUCAGAUUCAGUUUUAAAUUCACCAAGUAUAAUAGAUCACAUAAAAGAUGAACUAAAUUACACUAUUGAUUAUACAAAAUCGAUACUUUUUCCAAAGAGUAAUAUCCAAAAGGCAACAGAACCUACUGUCACCUUUAUUACGCAAGAUUACAAUCCAGUGUUAGAUGCAGUUAAUGAUAGUGCAACAUCUGCCAAACCUAUUGAUUAUCUAGUGGCAGGUACUGAAGGAUUAGCAUGGGUUGUUCAUCUUUGUUUUGUAUUAAGUUUGAGAAGUGGCAGAAAUUUUAAUCUACGUGGGCCUGUAUCUAUUCGAGCAUUGGUAUUUCUGCUAAUUGUUGUCUCUAUACUACUAUUAAGGAGUCAUGUCAAAUAUAAUUCACGAAAUGAUGUUUUACCAAAUUUGUCAUUGGGAUUUAGUAUUAGUGUAGUCACUCUACUAAUACUCUAUGCAAUAACACUGAUACCAGAUCAUAGUUUACAAGAUGCAAGAUCAUCCCGAUUUAACGAAAUAGGAGAACAGACUGCACUGUUGAAUACUCCUAAUUCUUCUUACGUAAGAUUCCCAGAGGAACAGGAUUCAACUUAUCUUGGAACUGCUAUGGAGAAUGUAACAAUAACUUCUAAAAUUUUAUUUCACUGGGUAAACCCCUUAAUGGAAAAGGGUGUCCGUGGCUUGCUGAACCAUUCAGAUGAUUUAUUUGAUUUACCAGAAUAUAUCAGCACUAAUGUGAUCAGUCAGAAACUUGAUUAUCAUUUGCAAAAUAUGCCCUGCAAUGUAAAUAACAGGAUGGAAAAUGAUGAAUUAAUGAUGGAGACAGAUGUACAAACUGUUACAAAGAAAAUAACUUUGUUACAUUUAUUACAUAAGUGUUUUGGAUGGGAAUUUUAUUCGGUUGGAAUAUUAAAAUUUAUCAGUGACUGUAGUUUAUUUGUGGGUCCAAUAUUAUUAAACAAAUUAAUUGGUUUUAUUGAAGACAAAAAUGAAUCUGUCUCAUAUGGAUAUCUAUAUGCAACAUUAAUAUUUGUUAGUGCUUUAAUAGGAGCUUUUUGCAAUGCUCAUUUUACAUUUUGGAUGUCUAUUGUUGGCUUAAAAAUCCGAUCAACGAUCAUUACUUUGGUGUAUAGGAAGACUUUACAAUCGCCUAGUAUCCAGUUAAAGCAACAAUUUAAUUUUGGUGAAAUAAUCAAUUUUAUGAGUACGGAUACUGAUAGAUUAGUUAACAGUUGUCCAAGUUUCCAUGCAUUUUGGAGCAUUCCAUUACAGUUGGUUGUGGCAUUAUAUCUUCUGCAUGAGCAAAUAGGGAUUUCGUUCUUAGCUGGGGUUACUUUUGCAAUAGUGCUUAUACCAAUAAACAAAGUAAUAACAAAUAAAGUUGGAAAGCUUAGUACGAAGCUAAUGGAAUACAAGGAUCAAAGGGUCAAAUAUAUAGGGGAAGCAAUACGUGGAAUAACUGCGAUUAAAUUGAAUGUAUGGGAAGAUCAUUUCUUGUGGAAUAUUAGUAAAUUACGAGAAAAGGAAAUCAAAUAUUUAAGUGAGAGAAAAUAUUUAGAUGCGCUAUGUGUUUAUUUUUGGGCCACAACACCUGUAUUGAUUUCUAUAUUAACAUUCACAACGUAUGUUCUUCUUGGAAAUAAACUUGAUGCAAAAACAGUUUUUACUAGUAUGGCACUGAUGAACAUGCUCAUAGGUCCAUUAAAUGCAUUUCCCUGGGUGUUGAAUGGUCUUACAGAAGCUUGGGUGUCACUUAAAAGAAUACAGAGAAUGUUAGAUUUACCAGAUGCUGAUCUGUCAUCAUACUAUUCGGAAUGUCCACCUGGAGUAGAUUUAAUGCUUCAGGAUGUAACAUUCGGAGUAACUACCAAGCAAAAUAUGGAAGAAAGUGAUUCAAAUUUGCCUAGAAAUGUUGCAACGCCAUCUUCUUCUUCUGAUUCUAGGAAAACAGUAACAUUUGAAGAUAAUAAUACUUUCAAUCUACAUGAGAUUAAUAUUAUAAUUCCGAAGGGGCAUUUAAUCGGGAUAAUGGGAAAAGUGGGCAGUGGUAAGUCACUACUCUUAGAUGGUAUUUUAAGUGAAAUUACCAAAGUUCGUGGUACGAUAGCAGUAAGUGAUGUCGCACAGGGUUUUGCAUUUGUCAAACAAAAUCCUUGGCUGCAACAUGGUACUAUUCGAGAUAACAUUCUUUUUGGAAAGUCUUAUGAUUAUAAUAAAUAUAAGGCCAUUUUAAAAGCAUGUGCUCUUACCACUGACUUAAAUUCCCUACCUAAGAAGGACUUAACAGUUAUCGGUGAUGCCGGAAAUACUUUGAGCGGUGGACAAAAGACACGAAUUUCCUUGGCACGUGCAAUUUAUGCAAACAAAGACAUCUAUUUGUUGGAUGAUGUUUUAGCGACUUUAGAUCCGAAAGUUGCUAACUACAUAUUCGAACAUGUUAUUAUAGGUUUACUGAAGAACAAAACAAGAUUACUGUGUACUCAUCAGACUCAAUAUUUAAUUCAUGCAGAUGUAGUAGUCGAUAUGGCUAAAGGCAGGAUAGUUAAUCAAGGUAAACCUAGCGAGGUUUUGCCAGACAUAGAUGACUAUUUAUUAUCUUCAGACUCUUAUGAGCCAGAUUUAGACGUUACCUCUGUUAAUGAUUUACCAAGAGAGACGAAUCAGUUGGAUAGAAAUGGUAAAGAAUGUUUGCCCGAUGAAGAAUUUACAGAGAAGGGAACUGUACGGUUUGGAGUAUAUUCAUGCUAUAUUAAGGCUAUGAGUGGCUACUUGGCAAUUUUGAUAUUUAUCUCCAUAUUUUUGAUGCAAAGUUCUAAAAAUGUAACAGACUUGUGGCUGUCUUAUUGGGUGACUCAUAUUAAUACAUCAGCGAGUAAUACUACAGAGACGCCAAAUCUUUUACAAUUUGAAUAUUUCUUUGACGAUCAUGAUAUGAGCACAAAGUACUAUUUAAUAGUUUAUGCUAUAUUAGCUGUAUUGAAUUCGCUAUUUACCUUGAUGAGAGCAUUUAUGUUUGCGUAUGGAGGGAUUCGAGCAGCCAUUGCAAUACACAAACAGCUUUUAAAAAUUGUUGUUCGGGCUAAAGCUGUAUUUUUCGAUAUUCAACCACUUGGUAGGAUUAUCAACCGAUUUUCAUCUGAUACAUACACAAUUGACGAUAGCCUACCUUUUAUUAUUAAUAUCUUACUCGCACAAUUAUUUGGUUUAUUGGCAACAAUAGUUGUUGCCACUUAUGGCUUACCAUGGAUACUGUUCAUGAUAAUUCCACUCGUCCCAGUAUAUCAUUGGAUUCAAAAUCAUUAUAGAUUAACAUCAAGAGAAUUGAAGCGUUUAUCAAGUGCAGCUCUUUCACCUUUGUAUGCCCACUUCAAUGAAACUUUAAACGGACUCUCCACUAUAAGAGCUUUGCGCACUGUGCCACGUUUCAGCCAAGAAAACGAACUGUUACUGGAAGUCAGUCAAAAAACGAAUUUUGCGUCGAUUGCAGCCAGCCAAUGGCUUGGGUUAAGACUACAACUUAUGGCAGUGGUUCUCUUAGCUGGAGUGAGCAAUAUUGCGGUUCUACAGCAUCAGUAUGACAUUGCAGACCCUGGUUUGAUAGGUCUUGUUAUUACUUACAUUUUGUCCAUAACUGGGUUGUUAACUGGCGUGGUCAAUGCAUUUACUGAGACGGAGAGGGAGAUGAUCGCAGUGGAACGCGUGAAACAAUAUUUGGAGAAAAUCUCCACAGAAACUAUCAAUGGCGAUAGUCCACCGUAUGCUUGGCCAAGUCAGGGCGUAGUUGAAUUUAGAGAAGUUGUAUUGAAAUAUAGAGAGCAUUUGACGCCAUCGUUGAACGGUAUAUCGUUCGUUACUCGACCAGCAGAGAAAAUAGGAGUUGUCGGCCGGACGGGUGCUGGAAAAAGUUCAUUAUUUGCUUCCUUAUUUAGAUUAACGGAAAUCACGUCCGGAACUAUAUUGAUAGAUAGUAUUAAUAUACAGACAUUGCAAUUAAAUGCAUUAAGAUCACGUUUGGCUAUUAUACCUCAGGAUCCAUUUAUUUUCUCGGGUACAAUAAGAGAGAAUCUAGAUCCUUUAAAUCAGUAUCCAGAUCUGCACAUAUACAAGGCAUUAGAGAAAUGUAAAAUUCACUCGCUAGUGUACCGUUUAGGAGGUCUCGGCGCUACUUUGGAAGAAUGCGGCAGCAAUUUAAGCGCAGGGCAGAGGCAAUUGUUUUGUUUGGUCAGAGCAGUUUUGCAUAAUGCCAAGAUUGUCUGUAUCGACGAAGCUACGGCGAACGUUGACCAAGAAACGGACAAGUUUCUUCAAGGGACAAUAAAGUCUUUCUUCCAGAGUGCCACGGUGAUUACUGUGGCGCACAGGAUAAGAACAAUUAUGCACUGUGAUAGGGUACUCGUGAUGGCAGAAGGGGAGGUAUUAGAGUUUGACGAACCAAAUCUGUUGAUUCAAAACAUCGACUCCCAUUUUUAUCGUUUAGCCAGUCAAGAGUUUUCCAAUGAAGAAUGAACGUUUCCCCGUAGCGUAGAACUCUUCUCAAGCACCCGGCGCUCGAAUUCGUUGUAGGAAAUUCUAUCCCUGAUUCGAAAAAUACGUCCAACUUCUAUCUAAAACCAAGGAAGUAGGAAAAGUACAUCAACGAUGAGUCCAUUGGAUAAAUACGAGGUGUGUCCGGAAAGUAUCCAACAAUUUUACGAGUUCCUCCGACAAAUAGCAUGGAACAGACCCCUCCUGACAUUUAAUCAUCGUUUGAUGCUUCGUGUGUUCUGUGGUACUCUCCUUCCCAGUGAACGGUUGGAUACUUUGCGGAGGCAUUUCGUAUGAAUACUGUGGUUCGAAGAUUUCACUUUGUCCGGGCAAUAUCCGAAAGCAGCGGUCAUGGCGAUUUUGUAUUGCCGUUUAGUCAGCGAUCCGACGGACUCCGCAUCAGCAUAAUCGAAAGCCUGCGGGGUUCGUGAUCCGUACAGUCGUUUCUCUCGCGACCCGUUCUUUUCCUACGUCGUGUCUUACCUUCCUAGCGCGUUCCUUGUAGACGCUCGACGUCAUAUCUUCCUUCAGGGCGUGAAUUCAGCUGGAACGAAACUUCCUUGAGCGACUACCAUAUUAAGCGAUUCGAUGAAAGCGAGGUGUUGCUCGUCGCGAGUCGCGCGUGCAUCGGGCUUUCAGCGGGGGAACUCGACCGACACGCAUUAUAUCGUAAUUAAAGCGGGAACCCCCUUUCAAACA